Pseudopipra pipra is the source of this 1573-nucleotide long non-coding RNA. RefSeq lists it as uncharacterized. The record is from RefSeq and is a predicted model, not a curated record. The transcript is spliced from 2 exons. NCBI's taxonomy places the organism in Eukaryota, Metazoa, Chordata, Aves, Passeriformes, Pipridae.
GCCUCGCCGGCCACCCAGCUCCGGGCACCGCCGGGGCCCCUCUGCCCACCCAACGGGCGCUCUGUGCUCCGGGGGAGCUCCCGUCUGUCUCUGUGGUCCGUGGGAGGUCCCACCAGUCUCUAUGGUCCUCUGUCUCUGUGGUCCAUGGGAGGUCCUGUCUGCCCACCCAACGGGUGCUCUGUGGUCCGUGGGAGGUCCCACCCUUCUCUGUCCUCUCGUGUCUCUGUGUUCCAUGGGAGGUCCUGUCUGCCCACCCAGUGGGUGCUCUGUGGUCUCUGGGAGGUCUUCUCUGCCCACCCAACGGGGUGCUCUGUGGUCCGUGGGAAGUCCCCCCCAUCUCUAUGGCCCCCAGAAGGUCCUCUGUCUGUCUCUGUGGUCCAUGAGAAGUCCUCUCUGUCCACCCAGCAGGGUUCUCUGUGGUCCAUGGGAGGUCUCAUCUGUCUCUGUGAUCCAUGAGAUAGAUGAUCCAUGUCUCCAUGACCCCCAGGGGAUCCUCUCUGUCCACCCAACAGGAUUCUCUGUGGCCCACGGGAGGUCCCACCCAUCUCUGUGAUCUCCAGGAGGUCCCUCCCAUCUCUGUGGUCCGUGGGAGGUCCUUCCUGUCCACCCAACAGAGUGCUCUGUGGUCCACAGGGUGUCCUCCACCCACCCAUCCCAGCUCUCCGUGGCCAUGGGAGCCCCUCUCCACCCCCCCCAGGCUCCCAUGGAGCCCCCUGACUCCAGGAGGGGUUAUUUUGGUGACCAUUGCCAAAAUCCCAGUGGGGACACUGGUGCCACCUGUGCCUCUGCCACCUCCUCCUCCCACGGUGGGGGGACCCAGCACCUGCUCCUCCUCCUCCUCCCCUGCCUUGGGGCCGGUGUCCCCGGGGAUGGAAAUGGGGACGUGGGGGGACAAUUUGGGGUGUCACAAAGGGGGGUGCAGGGACCACCCCCCUCCAGGGGCCGGGAGCUCAGGAGGGAUUAAAGCUGGGCUGGGUGCAGGAUCCGGGACAGCAGAUUAAUCCGGGGCUGGGGGGGACACAGGGGGGCUCUGCCCUGCCCUGACUCCCUAAGCCCAAAGCCGUUUUUUAAUUGAAACCCCGAUUCCUCAUUAAGUCCCUCAUUAAAGAGCAUCUUGCACCCCCUCCCUCCUCCCAGUGCCGCUGCCGAGGGGGGGCUCCCCCCUCGCUGUUCCCCCCCCUCGCUGUUGCCCCCCCUCGCUGUUGCCCCCCCAAGCCCCCCUGGCCGGGCGGUGCCAACCCCGGCUGCAUUUUUCCGGGCUGCGUAAUUCCUCGCCAUCGGCUUUUAUGGGCAGUGCUGGAGCCGGGGAGGAGCCUCAGGGAGCAGGAUCCGGCCCCACCAGUGCCCAGGUGCCCCCCCCGGGGUGGCAGCAGGGUCAGGACCCCCCCUCACUGCCCCCCCCUGCUCCGUGUCCCCGGUUCGGGGCUGUCCUUGUCCCCCUGUGGGAACCGGAGCUCGCAUCCUGGGAGUGCCCCCGGGAGUGCCCCCCGUGACGGGCACAACGGCAAGAAACGCCUCCCACCCCCCGAAAAAAACCCCUAAAAACCGGAGGAGUUAUUAAAACACCCCCAAA